GCAUAACGCCUCUAGGGUUCCGGCUUCACAAGCGUCAGGUCCGAGAGAGGCUCUCCCGCCUCGCGUGAAGCGCGGCGGAGCCACGGCGGGAUAAAAGCCCGGGAGAC
Molecule: small RNA, 107 nt
Filed under: Hyphomicrobium sp. ghe19
Lineage: Bacteria; Pseudomonadati; Pseudomonadota; Alphaproteobacteria; Hyphomicrobiales; Hyphomicrobiaceae
Description: ykkC-yxkD
Rfam family: Guanidine-I riboswitch aptamer
About the family: This family represents a conserved RNA structure found upstream of the ykkC and yxkD genes in Bacillus subtilis and related genes in other bacteria. The function of this family is unclear although it has been suggested that it may function to switch on efflux pumps and detoxification systems in response to harmful environmental molecules.
Source: RNAcentral